RNAcentral lists this ribosomal RNA (303 nucleotides) under uncultured bacterium. RNAcentral describes it as "partial 16S ribosomal RNA". It matches the Rfam family "Bacterial small subunit ribosomal RNA", at positions 507 to 807 of the family's 1533-position model. The record is from RNAcentral.
AGCAGUAGCCACGGUAAUACAGAGGGUGCAAGCGUUAAUCGGAAUUACUGGGCGUAAAGCGCGCGUAGGUGGUUUGUUAAGUUGGAUGUGAAAUCCCCGGGCUCAACCUGGGAACUGCAUCCAAAACUGGCAAGCUAGAGUAUGGUAGAGGGUGGUGGAAUUUCCUGUGUAGCGGUGAAAUGCGUAGAUAUAGGAAGGAACACCAGUGGCGAAGGCGACCACCUGGACUGAUACUGACACUGAGGUGCGAAAGCGUGGGGAGCAAACAGGAUUAGAGACCCGCGUAGUCCCUGUCUCUUAUAC